UACGGAGGGGGCGAGCGUUAUUCGGAAUUAUUGGGCGUAAAGGGCGCGUAGGCGGCUGUACAAGUCAAAGGUGAAAUCCCUCGGCUCAACUGAGGAACUGCCUUUGAAACUGUACGGCUUGAGGCCGGGAGGGGGUAGCGGAAUUCCCAGUGUAGCGGUGAAGUGCGUAGAUACUGGGAGGAACACCAGUGGCGAAGGCGGCUACCUGGACCGGUUCUGACGCUGAGGCGCGAAAGCUAGGGGAGCAAACGGG
Molecule: ribosomal RNA, 253 nt
Filed under: uncultured bacterium
Lineage: Bacteria
Description: partial 16S ribosomal RNA
Rfam family: Bacterial small subunit ribosomal RNA
Source: RNAcentral